GUGAGUAACGCGUGGGAACGUGCCUUCCGGUUCGGAAUAACCCUGGGAAACUAGGGCUAAUACCGGAUACGCCCUUAUGGGGAAAGGUUUACUGCCGGAAGAUCGGCCCGCGUCUGAUUAGCUAGUUGGUGGGGGUAACGGCCUACCAAGGCGACGAUCAGUAGCUGGUNUGAGAGGAUGAUCAGCCACACUGGGACUGAGACACGGCCCAGACUCUACGGGAGGCAGCAGUGGGGAAUAUUGGACAAUGGGCGCAAGCCUGAUCCAGCCAUGCCGCGUGAGUGAUGAAGGCCUUAGGGUUGUAAAGCUCUUUUAUCCGGGACGAUAAUGACGGUACCGGAGGAAUAAGCCCCGGCUAACUUCGUGCCAGCAGCCGCGGUAAUACGAAGGGGGCUAGCGUUGCUCGGAAUCACUGGGCGUAAAGGGCGCGUAGGCGGCGUUUUAAGUCGGGGGUGAAAGCCUGUGGCUCAACCACAGAAUGGCCUUCGAUACUGGGACGCUUGAGUAUGGUAGAGGUUGGUGGAACUGCGAGUGUAGAGGUGAAAUUCGUAGAUAUUCGCAAGAACACCGGUGGCGAAGGCGGCCAACUGGACCAUUACUGACGCUGAGGCGCGAAAGCGUGGGGAGCAAACAGGAUUAGAUACCCUGGUAGUCCACGCCGUAAACGCUGAAUGCCAGCUGUUGGGGUGCUUGCACC
This 697-nucleotide ribosomal RNA is filed under the name Methylobacterium sp. NP19. Its description in RNAcentral is "bacterial SSU rRNA". It matches the Rfam family "Bacterial small subunit ribosomal RNA", at positions 106 to 839 of the family's 1533-position model. The record is from RNAcentral. Lineage: Bacteria; Pseudomonadati; Pseudomonadota; Alphaproteobacteria; Hyphomicrobiales; Methylobacteriaceae.